This 691-nucleotide ribosomal RNA is filed under the name Campylobacter fetus. RNAcentral's name for it is "bacterial SSU rRNA". It matches the Rfam family "Bacterial small subunit ribosomal RNA", at positions 708 to 1397 of the family's 1533-position model. The record is from RNAcentral. Lineage: Bacteria; Pseudomonadati; Campylobacterota; Epsilonproteobacteria; Campylobacterales; Campylobacteraceae.
CCCAUUGCGAAGGCGAUCUGCUGGAACUCAACUGACGCUAAUGCGUGAAAGCGUGGGGAGCAAACAGGAUUAGAUACCCUGGUAGUCCACGCCCUAAACGAUGUAUACUAGUUGUUGCUGUGCUAGUCACGGCAGUAAUGCACCUAACGGAUUAAGUAUACCGCCUGGGGAGUACGGUCGCAAGAUUAAAACUCAAAGGAAUAGACGGGGACCCGCACAAGCGGUGGAGCAUGUGGUUUAAUUCGAAGAUACGCGAAGAACCUUACCUGGGCUUGAUAUCCAACUAAUCUCUUAGAGAUAAGAGAGUGCUAGCUUGCUAGAAAGUUGAGACAGGUGCUGCACGGCUGUCGUCAGCUCGUGUCGUGAGAUGUUGGGUUAAGUCCCGCAACGAGCGCAACCCACGUAUUUAGUUGCUAACAGUUCGGCUGAGCACUCUAAAUAGACUGCCUUCGCAAGGAGGAGGAAGGUGUGGACGACGUCAAGUCAUCAUGGCCCUUAUGCCCAGGGCGACACACGUGCUACAAUGGCAUAUACAAUGAGAUGCAAUAUCGCGAGAUGGAGCAAAUCUAUAAAAUAUGUCCCAGUUCGGAUUGGAGUCUGCAACUCGACUCCAUGAAGCCGGAAUCGCUAGUAAUCGUAGAUCAGCCAUGCUACGGUGAAUACGUUCCCGGGUCUUGUACUCACCGCCCGU